RNAcentral lists this ribosomal RNA (253 nucleotides) under uncultured bacterium. RNAcentral describes it as "partial 16S ribosomal RNA". It matches the Rfam family "Bacterial small subunit ribosomal RNA", at positions 524 to 776 of the family's 1533-position model. The record is from RNAcentral.
GACGAAACUUGCGAACGUUGUUCGGAAUCACUGGGCUUAAAGGGCGCGUAGGCGGGCAACCAAGUCCGAGGUGAAAGCUCCCGGCUCAACCGGGAAACUGCCUUGGAUACUGGUUGUCUUGAGGGAGAUAGGGGCGAGUGGAACUUCCGGUGGAGCGGUGAAAUGCGUUGAUAUCGGGAGGAACGCCGGUGGCGAAAGCGACUCGUUGGACCUCUUCUGACGCUGAGGCGCGAAAGCCAGGGGAGCGAACGGG